This 7013-nucleotide long non-coding RNA is filed under the name Malus domestica (apple). RNAcentral describes it as "long non-coding RNA (MDOM_LNC017118)". Lineage: Eukaryota; Viridiplantae; Streptophyta; Magnoliopsida; Rosales; Rosaceae. The record is from RNAcentral.
CUAGGUGUUAGUGCUUAUAUUAUUCACCACACCGCACGCUCGCCUUGGAUCCAAGUAGGUGGAUGUCGUACAGACCGUGUGAGGGUUCCGACAUGCCAGUCGUACAGACCAUUAGAGGGGUUCCGACUGGUGGGCGACAUUAGAUAUGCGCGCUGAUGAUUGAUGUGAGAAGCACUAGAGCGUAUCUUUACACCUUUCAGCGUACAGACUACCUUACGUAGUUCUGUGUGAUGUGCAGAGUAGGGCCGUAUAGGUCACUGUGGUGACUCCGGCUGAGGGGAUUAUUGAGCUAUUGAAUUGAUCGUACAGGACCAACUGCAGGGUCUCCGAUUGAUUCCCUAUUUCCACCUGAUUAUAAUUUGAUUUAUGGCAUGACAUCUUUUCUUGAAAAAAAAAAAAAAUGUUAAAGAUUUGAGAUUUGAGUUUUGAGAUUAUAAAUGGUUUUAUAUAUAUAUAUAUACUAUUUUCUGGGAAAGUAUACAGAUUUUACGGUGAGGGGUUAGAAAUGUUUUAAAUGAAAGGUUUUCGAAACACUUUGUUUUACUGACCCACUCAAAUUUGUUUUUCGCCCCUCCAGGUUUAAGUUAGCAGAGCUUUGGUGGCCACGAGGAACCCAACGGCGUUCUGACAGAAUUCACAAAAGUAGGACUCACCCUCGGGGGUUUCCAUUUAGUAAUUGUAUUUUUAAGAGCUUCCGAACUGUGUAAAUGGUUACGUCACUCUCACGUGACGGCCAGCACGCCCUCCUUCGGGACGGGGUGUGUCAGUUGGUAUCAGAGCCUAGGUUGCAAUCCUGGACAUCUUUAGAAUUUCCUAGUGUCUUCUGUCAGAACUUUACUGCCUCGUUGUGAGCCACGUCGUUUAGAUGAGCUUAGUUUCCCUAAUUUAGCAGUUUGGGGGGAAACUAUUGUUAUUGUGAUUCAGUCUAUUAUCUAAGGAACUUUUGAAGACUGGUUAUAAGUUGAAUUUGAAUCACUUUAUGGAAAUUAUGAACCUGAGGGAUCAGAGUGUUGGCUUACUCACUUGGAAAAGACGUUUUGGGUUAUGCAAGUCAAAGGAAUCUUUCUUCUGACAGGUGGGUCGAGACGACUACCUGGUAGUGGGUUAUGAAUUUAUAUCCUGGUGGAAACAGGAGUAUUAUUCGUCACCGGAGGAAACAGCCGAUUGAGAAUUGUUUAAAGAAUUGUUAAAGAAAAGAUUUAUUCCUCCGGCAUAUUAUGAUGGUAGUAAGUAAGAGUUUGCAAAUGUGAAUCAAGGAAGAUGACGGCAAAUGAGUAUUAUAGAAAGUUUUUAGACUUGCCUCGUUUCCAUUCGGAUAUUAUUGCUAAGUUGGUUGAGGGUUAUGUUGUUUUAGGCUGGAUAAUAAGAAGAAGUGGCGCUCUUUGGCAAUCACUAUCCAAUGUACUAUUUACCAAGAAUUUACAAGAUGUCGUUGAGAAUUGAGGACUCUGAGAACAUGAUCAGCGAGAGUAAAGAAGAAUAAGAAAAGAAUGGUGAUUAGAGGAAAGACGAUAAGGUUAAAAAUCCGUUAUAUCAAGGACAUCGAAAGACUCAGAGCUUCAAAAGAAGUGAAGUUAGAACUAAUUCUUCCAGCUGAGAUUUUAAUGCCACUGGUCAGAGGCGAAGGGAUAGAUUUAUUGGUGAUCCCAGAUCUCAGAGACAAGGUGACUCGAGUAAAGGAAAUGUAUCUUUGUACGUAGGUACAAUAUUAGGCACUUUGGAGAGUGUGGGAAUCAGUGAAUGUGUUCAUGUGGUUGGAUAAGGCAUAACGGUAUGAAUUGUCCCUGGGAUCAGUUGUUACCCAGCAGUCUUCUUUGACAUAUUAUUUGGAAAAUUGAGGAGUAAGCUGUACAUGUCAUUCUAGCUGACUUCGGCUGAUAUAUUUCUUAUUAUGGACGAUGUUGCUAAAGAGAGUAAUGUUGGAGCACGAUCGAGGCGUAUUUAUGUACUUCUAAUGAAGAACAAGAUGUUAAUGGUACACCUUCAGGGUGUCCAGUGAUGGUGGAAGAAGUAGUUAUGCCAGUGAAUCUUAUCCUGUUAGGCAUUGUGGAUUUUGAUGUGACUUUAAGCACAGAUUGGCUAGGUUAUAAUCAUGCCAAUAUGGAUUAUCAAAGGUUACCUUUGUGAUUGAGCAAAGUGGAUUGAGUUAGGCCGUUAUUUAUGCUGUGAGAACAAAGAGAUUGUUAUCGAAAGGCUGCCAAGGAUACUCAGCUCGUGUGGUGCUAAUUGAUGUUGAUCCUAAUAGUAUGGAAGAUGUAAAGAUGGUUAGACAUUUUCCUGGUGUAUUCCCAGAUGACUGACCUAGAUUGCCGCCAGGCAGAGAUGUGGGUUUCACUGUUGAAUUGUCUCUAGGUGCAAAUCUUAUGUUAGAGAUUGGUUCAGGUUGAGUUAAAAGUUCCAUUCAAUUUAAUACAUCACAUUGGAAAAGCUCCGGUUUAUUUGUGAGGAAGAAAGUGGACAUUAAGGCUAGGCAUUGAUAUUAGGUAAUUGAAUCGGGUAACGAUUGAGAGCCGUUAUCCAUUGUUGUGUAUUGAUGAUUAUUUGAUCAGCUCUAAGGCGCCUGGGUACUUUCUGAGAUUGACUAGAGGUCUGAAUAAUAUUAGUUGAAGAUUAACAGUGAGAAUAUUCAUAAGACUGAAUUCAGGACUCGUUAUGGUCAUUUCAAGUUAGUGAUGCCAUACGGAGUGACGAAUGCACCUGCUACUUUUAUGAGUUUACUGAAGGAAGUAUUCCAGUGAUAUCUAGAUCGAUUUGUUGUUGUUGCCAUUGAUGAGAUUGAUAAGAUUAGAGCGGAGCAUGCUAGAUAUUUUAAAUUGGUGUUGUAAAGAUUGAGGGAACGUCGAUAUAUGCUAAGUUUAGCAAAUGCUAAUGUUGGAUAAAUCGAGUGACAUUUUUGAGACAUGUUAUUUCUACUUAAAAUAUUCAAGUGGAUUCUUAAAAAGGUAGCAGUGAUUGAGAACUUGGAACAAUUGCGAAACGUCACUGAGAUUCAGAGUUUCUUGGCUUAGCAGGUUAUUAUUGAUAGUUCGUUCAAGAUUUUUCAAUCAUUGCUUUGCCCUUGGCGAGAUUGAUGAGAAAAGAGGUUAAGUUUGAGUGGGAAGAAAAAUUGUGAGUAGAGCUUCAGCAAGUAAAGUAUUCCCUCACUCAUGCAUCUGUUUUCGCACUCCCAGACGAUAGUGGUAAUUAUGUGGUCUAUAGUGAUACUUUUUUUUUAUGUUCUUGGAUGCGUGUUGAUGCAGCAUGGUAGGAUGAUUGCCUAUGCUUCAUGGCCAUUGAGAUCUCAUGAGAUGAAUUACCCUACUUGUGAAUUGGAAUUGGCGGCUAUCAUUCUUACUUUAAAGUUAUGGAGACAUUAUAUUAUUGGUGAGAAAUGCAAGAUUUUAAUGAAUCAUAAGAGUCUCCAAUAUAUGUUUACGCGGAGAGAUAUUAAUCUUAGGCAACAAAGGUGGAUUGAGUUGCUUAGUGAUUAUGAUUGUGCGACUAGGGUGGUCGAGCUAAUGUUGUUGCUGAUGCAUUUAGUAGGAAGACCCCAGCGAGAAUUAAUGCUUGGUACGCUUGCUAUGUUCAUCUUCUUGUGAAUUUGAGAUCUACUGGAGUAAAGUUGGGUAUCGAAAAUCGAGAAGAAGCCUUACUUGCUAAUUUCCAAGUUGGACCCAUUUGGUAGAUCGUACUCGAGACUCUAGCGUUUGACUAAGAAAUUCAAGAAUUUAUUUAAAGCAAUGAAUAACGGGAAAAAGAAAGACCUUAGAGUUAGAGAAUCAGAUGGCAAGCUUAUGCAAGAGAACAAAGUGUUUAUGCCCAAUGGUAUGGAAUUAAAGAAAGCAAUUUUGACGAUGUACAUUGUUCCACUUCUACAAUGCAUCCCGGAAGUACUAAGAUUUAUCAUACCAUUCGUUCAUGUACUAUUGACGGGCAUGAAAAGAGGAAUGGCGAAGUAUGUUAGUAGGCGUAUCAUCAAUCAUCAGGUUAAAGCAGAAAGAAAUAAGUCUUUUGGAAUAAUGUAGUCAUUUACAAUUCCACGGCGGAAAUGGGAGAAUAUUACUACGGAUUUCGUGGACAAGCUUCCUCGUAUACAAAAUAGUUAGGUUGGAGUUUGAAUAAUAAUUGAUCGACUGGUGACGUCAGCGUGUGUUACUUCAAUAUGAGAACAUCAACCUUUCCAGAUAAGCGCAACAGUUAUUUAUUUGUUUUAUGGAAAAAGAAAUUUGGGAUCUGUAAACUUCUUGGGUAUGUUGGUCCCUUCAGUUGGUUCCCUAGAGUAACGCCAUAAGGCCGUGGAAAGCUGUGUCUUGUGUUUCGAAAUUGUUAGAAUUGUGGACGGAUGAUAUUCAAGGCCCUGAGUUAGUAGAGGAGACUAUUCAGAAUAUUCAAGUAAUUAAGUCUAACCUGGAAGUGAGCCAGGAUCGGCUGAAGGGCCUAGCAGACAAUCAUGCCACUGACCGGAUGUAUAUGUAUGUGAUCGAAUGAGUUUGAAAUUAUCACAUUGGAAAAGUAUGAUUCGUUUUAAAAAGAAAAACAAGUAAGUCCUAGAUACAUCAGACCAUAUGUGAUCAUCGAUCGAGUAAGUGAAGUUACGGACAGGCUUGAGUUGCCUCCAGAGUCGACGAAAGGGCACGAUAUGUUUCACGUUUCGAUACUUCGACAUUAAACCUCAUAUCCUUCACGAGUGAUACCUCCUCAACCUUUGGAAGUCAAUCUGGAUUUGACGUAUGAUGAUGAGCCAGUGCCUAUCUUGUAUUAGAAAGAUGAUGUACUGAAAAAUAAGACUAUGAGUUUGGUGAAAAUUUAUGGAGGAAUCUUUCAGUGGAAGAAACUACUUGAAAGUCAGAGAAUCGAAUGAGAGAGAUGUGUUUCAGGCUGUUUCAUGGAUAUUGAUGGAUUGUAAAGAUUGUAUAAAUUUCGAGGACGAAAUUUCUUUAAGGUGGGUAGAUUGUGACAGCCCGUCCCUAAUUUUAAGAAUUUUUAAAGUUUUAAUAAAGGAUUUUACAAAAAUGCCCUUUGGAGGUACGUGCAUUAUUCGAGGUUAAUCACCAUGUCGUGCCAUCUAAGAUUUGUUUUCUUGACAUAUCCCCGUAGUACUCGUCGUUACGGACGCGUGGGCGCAGACGGUUCGUGAUUUGGAGUUAUAUCGAAGAAGUUAUUAAUGUUUGAAAUUUGGGAUUUUAAGGAAUUAUAAUUUUAGUAAAAUAUAGAAAUUCUUUUAUGAAAAUGGACGGCCCAGAUUUAAUGGAAUUUGAAAUGGAUGGCUGAGAUGAGGGAAAGGUUUUUGGUGUGUGUAUGUGUAUGAGAAGAAGAACAAGAAAACAGAAAAAACAAGGAAGAGACUGGGCAGAAAUGCCCAAUCGGAGAAGAAGAAGAUGAGAGCGAAUCAGAGGAAGAGAGAGGAAGAAACUGACCAACCAGGGGAAGGAAAGGAGGGAAAGGAGGGUGAGUGGUGCACGGGGGAACAGGAGGAACGGGUCACCCUUGACCCGCGCGACCCAAGCUUCCAAAUCGGCGGGUUUUCGCCAUUUUCGUCCAAUUUUCCGACGAAUUGAAUCAAGGUACCACUCCCAAUCAACAUCUAGACAUUCCCUCUUCACGUUUCACCCCAAGAAUCAUUGAAUUUCAUGGUGAUUUCGCGAAGAACACCCCUACGGGUGCCGCGACCUUUUUGUUUAAAUUCAUCAAAUUUUGAAAUGUUUUCUUGAAAUUACUAACACCAUUAGCAUUCCUUUAGGACCUAGAACAAAGCCCAAGAGGUAAUUGAGGCGUUGGAACAAGUUUGAAGGUCGAAUUGGAAACACCCAAUUCUAGGGUUCUUCACGGUUUUGGUGAAAUUGAAGCACUUCCAGGCCAAAUUGGCCUUGGCCACAGGUAUGAAAGUUGUUCGACUCAUUGAGAUCUUCAAAUCUGCAAAUUUAGGUAAUUUUUGGAAAUAGUUGAAUUUUCCGGCGAGCCGGGGCGGCCAACCGCCACCCGCGGCGGCCCACGCGGCGGCGCGUGGCCAAUGGCUCGCCAAUGUCAUUAUUAGCAUGUGUUUGAGGUUCUAGGUUCAGUUUUGAUAAUUGAUGGACGUAAAUUGAAUAAUUGAACCUAAGUUGGUUACGAUUCGUGGUUAGGUGAAAAUGUGAAUUGACGAUCCGACCGUUGGAUGGUAAUGAAAUUUUAGGAUGUUGUCCUAGAGGUAUAUUGUGGACCUCUGGAAGUUACGGAUUUGAAAUCUGAGUUGCAGAUCAUCCGGAUCGAACUACGUAGUGACGUGUCUUAUAUAAGUUAUGUAUUCGAUCGGCAGGAUUUCUGAGGUUGGAUUUGAUUAUUGUUCUAGGCACUGAUCAUCACGACGCCUUGAUGUACGGUGCUAAGGAGUUGUUGGGCGAACUCCAGGUGAGUGGGCAGUUUUGUUUUCGUAUUACCUAUAUACUACUGUUUUUCCUAGAAAAAUGUUUUUAUAUGAAAAUAUGUUUUGAACAUGCCAUGCCUAGAAUUAUUUGAAAAUCAUGAAUUGGUUUAUGAAUUAUAUGAUUGAUAUAUGAUGCAUACAUAUUGCAUGGUGCUGUGGAGGCAAAGGCAAGUCAGGUGAGUUCAUUUAUGCAUUGAAUUGGUUGAUAUCGAUAUAAUUUGAGCUCGUAAUCUGCACCCUAGGUGUUAGUGCUUAUAUUAUUCACCACACCGCACGCUCGCCUUGGAUCCAAGUAGGUGGAUGUCGUACAGACUGUGUGAGGGUUCCGACAUGCCAGUCGUACAGACCAUUAGAGGGGUUCCGACUGGUGGGUGACAUUAGAUAUGCGCGCUGAUGAUUGAUGUGAGAAGCACUAGAGCGUAUCUUUACACCUUUCAGCGUACAGACUACCUUACGUAGUUCCGUGUGAUGUGCAGAAUAGGGCCGUAUAGGUCACUGUGGUGACUCCGGCUGAGGGGAUUAUUGAGCUAUUGAAUUGAUCGUACAGGACCAACUGCAGGGUCUCCGAUUGAUUCCCUAUUUCCACCUGAUUAUAAUUUGAUUUAUGGCAUGACAUCUUUUCUUGAAAAAA